GAUAAACGCUGGCGGCGUGCAUAACACAUGCGAGUCGAACGAAGAAACUUAGAUGAUUUCUUCGGAAUGAACUUAAGUGGAUUAGUGGCGAACGGGUGAGUAACACGUGAGUAACCUGCCUUACACAAGGGGAUAGCCUCUGGAAACGGAGAAUAAUACCCUAUAAAGUCUAAUCAGCACAUGCUGGAAAGACCAAAGAUUUAUCGGUGUAAGAUGGACUUGCGUCUGAUUAGCUAGUUGGUGAGAUACAAGCUCACCAAGGCGACGAUCAGUAGCCGGCUUGAGAGAGUGUACGGCCACAUUGGGACUGAGACACGGCCCAAACUCCUACGGGAGGCAGCAGUGGGGAAUUUUGCACAAUGGGGGAAACCCUGAUGCAGCGACGCCGCGUGAUUUAGAAGGCCUUCGGGUUGUAAAAAUCUUUUUUACGGGAUGAAAAUGACAGUACCGUAAGAAUAAGGUCCGGCUAAAUACGUGCCAGCAGCCGCCGUAA
Molecule: ribosomal RNA, 493 nt
Filed under: uncultured bacterium
Lineage: Bacteria
Description: partial 16S ribosomal RNA
Rfam family: Bacterial small subunit ribosomal RNA
Source: RNAcentral